Molecule: microRNA, 21 nt
Filed under: Eisenia fetida (common brandling worm)
Lineage: Eukaryota; Metazoa; Annelida; Clitellata; Crassiclitellata; Lumbricidae
Source: RNAcentral
UGACUAGAUACACACUCGUCU